RNAcentral lists this ribosomal RNA (253 nucleotides) under uncultured bacterium. RNAcentral's name for it is "partial 16S ribosomal RNA". It matches the Rfam family "Bacterial small subunit ribosomal RNA", at positions 524 to 776 of the family's 1533-position model. The record is from RNAcentral.
UACGUAGGUGGCAAGCGUUAUCCGGAUUUACUGGGUGUAAAGGGCGUGUAGGCGGGGACGCAAGUCAGAUGUGAAAACCACGGGCUCAACCUGUGGCCUGCAUUUGAAACUGUGUUUCUUGAGUACUGGAGAGGCAGACGGAAUUCCUAGUGUAGCGGUGAAAUGCGUAGAUAUUAGGAGGAACACCAGUGGCGAAGGCGGUCUGCUGGGCUUUUACUGACGCUGAGGCUCGAAAGUGUGGGGAGCAAACAGG